CCUACGGGUGGCAGCAGUGAGGAAUAUUGGUCAAUGGCCGAGAGCCUGAACCAGCCAAGUCGCGUGAGGGAUGACGGCCCUACGGGUUGUAAACUUCUUUUGUCUGGGAGCAAAGUGCGGGACGUGUCCCGUUUUGUGGGUACCCUGUGAAAAAGCAUCGGCUAACUCCGUGCCAGCAGCCGCGGUAAUACGGAGGAAGCGAGCGUUAUCCGGAUUUUUUGGGUUUAAAGGGUUGGGAGGGCGUAAAAUAAGUUAGCGGUUAAAUUUUAGGGGCUAAACAUCUUCGUGCCGUUGAAACUGAGUGUCUUGAGUGGGCGAGAAGUAGGCGGAAUGCGUGGUGUAGCGGUGAAAUGCAUAGAUAUCACGCAGAACUCCGAUUGCGAAGGCAGCGUACCGGCGCCCAACUGACGCUGAAGCACGAAAGCGUGGGUAUCGAACAGGAUUAGAUACCCGAGUAGUC
RNAcentral lists this ribosomal RNA (460 nucleotides) under uncultured bacterium. RNAcentral describes it as "partial 16S ribosomal RNA". It matches the Rfam family "Bacterial small subunit ribosomal RNA", at positions 338 to 795 of the family's 1533-position model. The record is from RNAcentral.